This is a long non-coding RNA of Gambusia affinis (western mosquitofish), 1209 nucleotides long. RefSeq lists it as uncharacterized. The record is from RefSeq and is a predicted model, not a curated record. The transcript has 3 exons. NCBI's taxonomy places the organism in Eukaryota, Metazoa, Chordata, Actinopteri, Cyprinodontiformes, Poeciliidae.
UCAGAGGUGUGGCGUCAGUGACUGGAUGCAGUCAGGUUUGGGGUUCAGGACUCCCACGUCCCUGGUCAGGUUGUUCUCUUAGUUUUUUGUCAUGACAUCCUGCGAGCAGCACGCGCUCAAGUUAGAACACUGAUGUGUUGACAAUAUCAGACGGUCUGUACUGAUAGAGGACAUGUUGCCUCACUCAAAAACAGUGUCCUGGAAAAAUCACCGCUCUGCAGACCUUUUUAUGAAUAAUUUGCAUGAACUUCUUGCUCCUCUGUCUGCGUGUACUCAAGGUACUCCAGCUUCCAACACUCCAGAAACAUGCAUAAUACAACGGCUUGCUAAAACAUCCUUCUUGAUCCUAGCCCAACAGACUUUAUUUGAUUUGACUUUUGGAGAACGUAGCAAAUAUUUUUGUGAAAAGGUACCGAUAUCAGACUUUCAACAAGUAAUCUAGAAAUAACUACAACAAUAUGAGGCUAUGGGGUUGCUUUUUCUCAGCAAGGGAAAGAAAAGUUGAUGAGAAGAAAGAAGAGUGUCUGUUGCUGGUCCUCAAGUGCCAGUCUGCUGCGGGUUUUAAAUGGGUCAAACCUUCAAUCUGAAUCAUUGUUACCGACUGCUCAUGUGUCUUGUUUUUUUUUUUAUUUCCCCAGGACUCCAAGUUUGACGCUUUGCUCCAGUUUACGAUCCCUUUUUAAUUGCGUACAUCUGGCAAUAAAAUAUAUUCUAAAAUCAACUUUGUAUUUGAAAUGUAUUGUAGAUGUGCUCAAUCUCUUAAUAAGCAAAACAAAUCCACAGCAUAAUACAACCUCUUGUGUAUCAAAAUGAAACACUUUUUAAACAUACUUUGUUAUAUUGCAUCCGUUUUGGUAUGUACACCUUUUGAGUAGAGGUAACUAGUUUCAGUGUGCAGUUCUAACUCAUACUAAAACCACCUGCAGUUGCAAAGCAUGAAUGGUUUACAGCAUGCACAGGCAUUUGCAGAGAGCUCAAAUUUAUUCUUGAUACCACAAUAGGGAAGUUAUAAAGGACUGUGGAAUGCCUCGUUUUCUAUAAUGUAUUCAUAACUCGACACCGCUCUGCUUUUAUACAGUCAAGUUUAUUCUGAUCGAUGAUCCGAUUAAAAAAGGAGCACUGCACCCACUGAACAUUUUUUGUUGUGUUAAACUGUGUGUUUGUAGAAUAAAAAAAGGCUAUUUCUCUUCUUCCAACAAUAGGGAAAAU